UACGGGGGGGGCAAGCGUUGUUCGGAAUUACUGGGCGUAAAGGGCGCGUAGGUGGCCUUCUAAGUCGAACGUGAAAUCCCUGGGCUCAACCCAGGAACUGCGUCCGAGACUGGGAGGCUUGAAUCCGGGAGAGGGAUGCGGAAUUCCAGGUGUAGCGGUGAAAUGCGUAGAUAUCUGGAGGAACACCGGUGGCGAAGGCGGCAUCCUGGACCGGUAUUGACACUGAGGCGCGAAAGCCAGGGGAGCAAACGGG
This 253-nucleotide ribosomal RNA is filed under the name uncultured bacterium. RNAcentral describes it as "partial 16S ribosomal RNA". It matches the Rfam family "Bacterial small subunit ribosomal RNA", at positions 524 to 776 of the family's 1533-position model. The record is from RNAcentral.